AGCAGGGUUGUAUAAAAAGGCGGAGCACAGCGCAGAGGCUCUCUCAGUAGUUCAAGUUCAUCACUGUUUGGCAUCUGUUGGAUUUUCAGCGUGGCUGGGAAGUAGAGGGUCCUGCUGGCCAGUUGGGACUGGCAUUUUCUGGCUUUUAUUGGAAGGUCUCGAGAGCCAACCCAGCUCUUCCCUCCGAACCCACCUCACACCACAUCAGCAGAUAUGAUAAUCAGACUGGGCAGGCUGACACCUGGAUACUUCCGCCUCCUCCAGAGGCAAGUUGCCGGCGAGGUGCAGACGCAGCCACAAGACCGUGCCAUCAACCAGAUAGCCAUGAUGCUGGCCAUCAUGGGCCUGAGUUUGUCCUACUACAGUGCCAAACAGAUGACGGAGAAAGUCCAGGCUCAGCCUGCGCCCUGAAGAGACUUGACUGCUCUGAUUACUGAGAUAAUGGAUGAGCCAAUGAGAAGUAAAGGAGAUGGAGUGAGGAAGCAAGAAGCACAGCAGUGUCUUCCAGGACCGCACUUUUCUCACCUCACGGUCACAGUCACAUUCAGACACUGAAUUUCUGGUAUCCCUCACUCACCAUGCACAGAGAUUUCUGGUGUUUUCUGUACUUUCUGUUGUUGGGACCUUGAGGGAUUUGUGGGGAUGGCUCACCUGGGGUCAUGGACUGGUUUUGGGAGGGUGAUCAAAACCAGCUGACUGCCAACUGGGUCUGACCAUUAGUUGUUACAGAGGUGCAUGCUUGCAAGAUGCCGUCAAUACUGUUCUGAGCCACGAAAGGGGGGUUGGGGGGACUGUGAAUUUUGCUAGUGCUCUAAGCCUGUUAAAUAAUAUGAACAGUAAUGCAUUUUAAAGGAAGGCUGACUGCAACUGAGAUGUACCUCGUAAGGAAGUGAUGGCAGGCCCAGAACAUGGUUAAAGGGGAUUGAAAGUUAGCUCAACCCCUUAAGCUUUUAUUUUUAUUAUCUCCCCACCCCCUGUCACGAGAGAACAUCACAGAGCCUGUGAACUGAUCAGGAGCUGUACUCACAUCACACUGUCAAUAUAUAUACAGUACUUGUGAAAGGUAUCUGUCAGGUGUCAGAUUGAGUGAAUAUUUCCACAAAACUGCAGAAACAUUUUGAAAUACUACAACAGACAGGGACUUAAAAUCACUCACUACCCUUUUUUUUAUAUAUAUGGUGUUUUUUUUCCCCCCCUGUGAUUUAACACUGUUUAACAAUAAUCCAUAAAGUCCUGUUAAUAUGAUGUGUGACUGCCUUGAUAAGCACCCUGGUUAAGAAGUCUUCCUACAUUAUCUGCUACAUGUUAAUGCAAACAUUUAACUAUGAACUAUGAACAUUGCAUGGGUGUGCAGACUUUUAAUCAAAGCAAAAUUCAUGUUUCUCAUUUUUAUUGAUGAAUGAAUGUAUUACUUUAUUUUCUAAUGAUUUAAUAAAGCUGUGAAUAUUUUGAAAGAGA
RNA transcript from Lates calcarifer (barramundi perch), 1458 nucleotides. It is a transcript of the gene named putative transmembrane protein ZNF593OS, with no coding region annotated. The transcript is spliced from 3 exons. The record is from RefSeq and is a predicted model, not a curated record. Lineage: Eukaryota; Metazoa; Chordata; Actinopteri; Centropomidae.